Eriocheir sinensis (Chinese mitten crab) is the source of this 1096-nucleotide long non-coding RNA. RefSeq lists it as uncharacterized. The record is from RefSeq and is a predicted model, not a curated record. NCBI's taxonomy places the organism in Eukaryota, Metazoa, Arthropoda, Malacostraca, Decapoda, Varunidae. The transcript has 4 exons.
UAAGUACAAUGUUCCAAGUACGACAAUUUCGUAUCGCUGGCGAGUCACACGGGCGUGAAGCUGCCAGCUCGUUACACUCAGCCUGUUAUAUUUGCCGAUCUCCCACCCAAAACCUGUCUCUGGCGCCCAAUAACGAGAUUCAGAUAUAGUUAUCACUAAAACCGUUGAUUCCUGAUGUGUUUUGGCAAUGGUUAAGCGUCGAAAACCGGUACAUGCACGAGGGCGAGAUGAUGAAGGCAAGUUAUCCCAGCAUCGUUUCCAGAUUGUCGUACUCGGAGCAUUACUUUUACCAGCUUCUCCCGCAUAAAUAUCACCAGGAAACAUGAAUAAUAAACCAUUUCAACAAUAACUACAAAUAAAUAUCGUUAUUGUGACCCAGGAAACAGUUUUGGGGAUGGAAAUUCAGAAAUUGGGAAACAUGAGAAACUGAGUACGACAAUCUGGCAACGUUGUACAAUAAUCCCAGCCAUCAGCUGUUCAGUGUUUGUUUACCUCGCGCGGGGAGAGAGGAAGGGACACUGUGCUCCGUGCUAACCCUUGUUAUCCCUGCUAUCCACGUGCCCCCCUUGUUAUCCUCGUGCUCCCGGCCUUGUAGCGGUGCCGUGGCGGGGCGUGUAGGCGUUGACAUGUAAGCCCCGGUCGUCUACCCUCCGUGCCCUAUGGGGGUCCGUGGACGGGGCAGCACUCACGGUCAUCGGCACUGCCCAUACACUCAGUCCACCCUGGCGGGGACCUCACCAAUGACCUCCAUGAAAACAGGGUCCCAGACAAGCCAGUUGGUCUGAAGGCCGUGGCGCUGACUGACCACAUCAGGGUGUGUUGGCAGCCCCCCGCACAGCACAAUGUGCUGCUGUGCGGCUACACCAUUGCCUGGGACCAAGGCGUGGCGGACAUCUACUCCAAGAUCGUGGACAGCAAGCAGCACGGUUACAUCAUUGAUAAGCUGGAACCCAACAUGGAGUUUGUGAUAAGCCUGCGAGCCUUCAACAACGUGGGUGACGGGCAACCGGUGUACCAGCAAGUCCGCACCCAGCCAGAGGAGGAGGAGGUGGUGGCACCCACGCUGGACCCGGCGGUGUGGGUGAAGGCCGUGGUG